This 466-nucleotide ribosomal RNA is filed under the name uncultured bacterium. Its description in RNAcentral is "partial 16S ribosomal RNA". It matches the Rfam family "Bacterial small subunit ribosomal RNA", at positions 29 to 507 of the family's 1533-position model. The record is from RNAcentral.
AUGAACGCUGACAGAAUGCUUCACACAUGCAAGUCAACUUGAAUUUGGGUUUUUAACUUAGGUUUGGGUGGCGGACGGGUGAGUAACGCGUAAAGAACUUGCCUCACAGCUAGGGACAACAUUUGGAAACGAAUGCUAAUACCUAAUAUUAUGAUAAUAGGGCAUCCUAUAAUUAUGAAAGCUAUAAGCGCUGUGAGAGAGCUUUGCGUCCCAUUAGCUAGUUGGAGAGGUAACGGCUCACCAAGGCGAUGAUGGGUAGCCGGCCUGAGAGGGUGAUCGGCCACAAGGGGACUGAGACACGGCCCUUACUCCUACGGGAGGCAGCAGUGGGGAAUAUUGGACAAUGGACCAAGAGUCUGAUCCAGCAAUUCUGUGUGCACGAUGAAGUUUUUCGGAAUGUAAAGUGCUUUCAGUUGGGAAGAAAGAAAUGACGGUACCAACAGAAGAAGUGACGGCUAAAUACGUG